CUUGUUCAUAUUUCUAUUUCUGGUCACGUUGUAUAAUAUGUAUAAGAAAUCUUAGUUGUAUUCAUCAAGACUGUGUUUUGCACAGGGCAAAUGGCCAAGAGUCUUACUGGUUUGUCCCAAGCUCUUUUGGCCCGAGUGGGAUCUCUGGAACUUGAGUAGUGCCUCUUGGAGAGUUUUGUCUUUCUCCACCUCUCAGCCUCAUUUUUUCAUUUAUGAAAUUGUGCUCAUAAUCCCUAUUCCAUGGAGUUGUGAAAAUUCGGUAAGAUCCUACAAGCCUUUUCAAAGGCUUUGAGAGCUGUGGUGUUGGAGGAAGGAUAAACAGGGCUGCUGUUAAACUACACAGCACAUUUGGGAAGGUGAGAAAAAGGCAUCGCUUUCUCCUGGUAGACCCAAACCUGUGCCAGGGUGCAUGGCUUGGUGGGUUGAGCUCGGCUGGAAUUCAGCCCUGUUUGCCCUUGUGGCCAGGCACACAAGGACACAGUCUAUGCAAUGGUUGUGGCAGCCCUGUGGGUGAAGUCCAAAUUCAUACGGGGGCAUCUGCCCAGAGUGCCUCUCCCAUGCACACACCUGUGUUUCUACCAAACUGAAGCCAUGAGUGCCUUGAAAGUAGAGGAUCAUUUCACCCCUCUCUGCCUUGUACAUGUGGGUCCUGCUGCCUUGCGUGCUCCUUCCCUUACUCUUGCUGUUUCAUUGAGCUCCUGCUCAGCCAUGAAGACCCACCUUAGGCAAGUCUUCUUUAGGUGCUCCUGAUGGGAUCACUUCUACCUUUGUGGCCUUUCCCCUUGAUCUGAGCACACACUGCUAUCCUAGCCCCGAUGCAGUGAUCUCUUCUCUUGCACCUCUCUGCUAGCUUUGGACAAUGAUGAAGAGACAGACCCAGAGAGUGGGCUCCCCUGUAUCCCGGACAAGUCCCAUCUUCAGCAUGGGAGCUUGUUAAUGUGGCACGGAAUGGUCACUCUAAAGAGAAAUUACCAGACUAUGGGAGCUGCCCAGGACCAAGGAACAUGACUCAUUUAUCUCCUGGUGCCCAGUUUGCAGCAGCCCAGGGCCCAGGGGAUUGGUGUUGUAAGCGUCUGUUGACUGAUUCACUGACUGUGUCUCAUAGUUCCUUUCCUGCCCUAGCCCUGAGCCAGGGCCAUGGAGCCCAGGGAACCAUGGAGGUAAGCAAGGGAAGGACAGUUGGGGAGUAGAUAGAGGUUUCUAGGAGCAAGAGGAGGGGAAUACAGGGAUUGUCUUUUAAAUUUGUUACCCACACCUAAAAUCUAUAUAUUCAUUAUCCUUAUGAAAAUGAAAACACUGUAAAUUUGGCUGAGGUUCCCCUUGUCUGAUGCACCCAGUUCAUGCACUGUCACAGAGGUAUCUAUGUGCUUUUUAUAUGUGCACCCAGUUCAUGCACUGUCACAGAUCGAUCUCCACAUGUGCUUUUUAUAUGUGUCCAUUAGGGUACAUGGUGACUGCAGUGCCAAAAAAGUUCCCAAAUCUCAGUUGCUUAACAUAGAAAACUUUAUUUCUCAUACUGCAUAGUGUGAUGUGGUCGGGAGGAAGCUCUGGGCAGCAACCCCAGAACGUGUUUUGGGGUCUGGUCUGGAAUGGCUUGUAACUGCCAACUCCUUGACCCCUGCUUCUCGCCUCUGAGAGGGCCAUUGAAGGGGACAUUUCAGGCUGGAGGCAGCAUAUGCUACUUGUUUCCGUAUUCCAGCAGCACGAACCGAGUCAUCUGGUCUGAAGUAACUGCGGGGAGACCGCGAAAUGAGUCUUGUGUGAAGAGGACUUGCGAGGACCUAGCAGAUCUUGCCACCACAGAGAUGGGUGUCAAUAGAGCAUAUAGUGUAUGAUAUCAGACAGGUGAAAUAGUGACAGUUCUCUUGGAGUGUUCCAACCCAGUUCUUUCUCCUCCAUUGGCUGCUAGGCUGUAGAUUUUCACCAUGACUGCUAGCUCUUGAUUUUCAAAGAUACCCACAGACAAGGAGAAGAGGGUGCGGGUAGAGCAAUUUCAGUGCCACAGAGCCUGCUGGGCUUACCCACAUUCAGCCACCUUUCUUGAAUAAACGCUCCCUUACUACAAGCCUUUGGUUAAUUUCAAGAGUCUGAAAGGGUUGGUUUUGACUAUUUUUUACAGUGUCCUCAUUGCUUUUAUGAAGCAGGGUAUUGGAAGUCCUUAUUCUGUCAUUCUCCCUGACAUCUCUCUAAGCUCCUUAGUUUAUAGUAACUCUCCAGUCUGUGUACUUUAUCUCUUAUUCUCCUCCGUUUACUUGUGUGUGCUUUGUGGAUUUUCUGCAUUAUAUAAGAUCAUAUCUGAAAUAAUUCACGUGUUCUCUUCCCCAAAUUGUCCAUUUUUGUAGCAAUUGGCUUAUGACAGGGACUUUUUCAGAUAGGGAGGGGAUUAUUUGCACUUGAGCUCUUUUUAGUUCUGGAAGAGUAGACCUGAAACCAGAGUAUCAGACACACAACAGGACACUUCUGACCAAGCAUAUGCAUAAAUAGAUUAUAAAAAUAUUCACAAAGAGUAGUUAUUUAUACAAUUUAUGGAAAAGGAGUUUUCAAACCAUUCAUUGCGUUCAUUUUCAGUAAAGCAUUGACUGUGGAGGAAGGACACGAAUAUGGUAAAAGAGAAAAACCAAUUUCAUCUGAGCUCAGAGCUUUUUCCUCUAAGAAAAAUACCCCAUCAUUAUUUGAGGGCAUUUCAAAUGUAGUGUAGACAAAGGCGAGAGAAGCUGCUAGCAUGAAUUCUUAUGAACAUAACGAAUGUGGGAAAUUAUUCUGUAAUAGCACAAGCCAGGCAGGAGGAAAACUUUUAAAAUGUAAUCAGUAUGGGAAAACCUUCAGUCAUAACAAACCUCAUAAGAUCUCAAGGGAUUAAUAGUGGAGAGAUUCCCAUAAGUGUACUAAACGUAGGAAGGCCGUCACCAGGGAAGAGAGCAGACAAGUCAUACUGUAAAGAAUUCCUCUGAUUUUAAUGAAAGCGAGAAGCUACGGUGCCAGGAGUUAAAACUCCUUAGCCACCAAAAUUCUGCAGAGAUGAUAAUCCUUAUAAAUGCAAUGAGUGUGGUAGAGGUUUCUUCAGUGAGUCACACUUUAUUACACAUCGGAAGAAAACCCUAGUAGAUGUCUAGGGUUGCCAUAACAAAUGACCACAAACCAAGUGACUACUUAGCAAUACAUUUUCAACAUCCUGAGAAUAUGUUUGGCAUCCAUUGAUUGUGUUCAUCCCUUAGAAUUGGUCACAUUUUCCUGAUACUUUGUAUAUGGAGUCAUUUGGAAUUAUAUUUAGACAUUGUGAAUGUUACGUUGUGUUCUGGGUCCUGGUAUAUGCCUCUUAAGAUGUUGUUUUGCUGUAGAAGGCAAUCGACCUGGUUGGAGUCGGUCAGCCUACAUGUCUAGUUGAGAUUCUGUGUAUGAGAUCAAGUAGCUCUGUUGUUUACAUGUGUGCCGUAUAUGCUCCAGGAUUAGGCUGGGACACCUGCAGAGACCCACGCAGAAUUAGGAGCCCUUUGCUGGUUCUCGCCUCUGGAAUUCCCUCCCACACUCGUUUCCUGUAUCCACUGGCCAAAGCUAAAAUCUUUGGGAAAAACAGACAAUUCUCCGAGGACGUGAAAAGUGAACAAAAGCAGACCAGUUAUGGAGCGAGCCAGAACUUGGGAGAUGCAUCCUGCUAGAGGCACAAAAGGACUGAUGGUGAGUGACAUAGCCAUCGGCCACAAGAAUCUGUACGUGAAGAUGAACCGGGUCAUUGUACCACACCGUUCUUGAGAAGGAGACAAUGCAAUCCAAAAAGUACAUGACCACAAAGAAACCCAUGAGCAACAGAAUGGUUUUGGUGGCACCUUUUCCCAGGGAUGCUUUUGAAGAAAGGCUGGUGCAAUAAAGAUGCUGGGUCUGCCUCAGCAUCUCAUGUCUAUACAAGAGAAUUACCAUGUACCCACUUGAGAGGGCCAUGAGCCCUAUAAAGACGACAUCCUGGAAGGUGAACAGUGUGAAAAAUAUUUGCCUGAGGAAGCAAUCUUGGGGCCAAAGAGAACAGGAUUCAAACAGAAGACGGGCAGAGGUCACGUUAGGAGUAGAAACAGUGGACAUUAUGAAGCAACUACUAACAAACAUAUUGUAGACCCAUAGGGGGAAAAAUGAACACUGGCUCUGAUGUGAGGAUUUAUGUUUGAACUUUGCCAAACAGGAGCUUCUGGGCUGAGGAUGAUGGCCUGGAGGACACUCAGCAGGCAGGUGGCACAAAUGGAGAGGUCCCUCAUCAACUUAUGCAAGUAGACAAAUGAUUUACAACUUUGAAGUCAUUCCAAAACCUUGGAGACCCCAAAAUGCCUGUAGCCACAAAACCCACUGUUAUCAGCAUCACUGUAUGAAUUAAGGCCAACUGAAUGAUAGGUCAGUGGGCUUCGGCUUGUUUUUAAGAAGUAAUAUGAGGAUGUGGAAGAGAAGAAGGACAUUAUUGGCUGAGAUCCUAAUGCCAGCUUCCAAGAAAAAGACAUUUUUAUGGCAAUAACAUCAUGAAAUUUGUUGUUUUCACCCAUAUUUAUGGGGAAAAGAAGUAUAUUGUAAAUAACUGAAGAGAAAAACAAGAAAAAUGAUCUUUCUCACAAAUCCUUACCUUCAUCAAUCUCAACCAACACUACUGCUGUCACCACCAUAAGUGGGUUAAUCCUGAUGACUCCUUUUCCCUUUCAAUACUCAAGCUCACCAUCAUACCAUCCCGGAAGCCAUCCCCACCCUCUCCCACCAUGGAAAGUCCCACCGCUUCCCAAUAAUGGCUGGAUUAUGUAUAUCAUCACUGGGUUUCCACAGUGCUAGAGUUUUCCUCUACAUUAAAAGUUGCCAUAAAUAUACCUUGGCUAAUUGAAUUUAAAUUACAAAAAGAACAAACCUUAGAAUAACAUGCAAGUAAGAAAACAAAACAAAAAAUAAUAAAAGUUGU
Molecule: long non-coding RNA, 4924 nt
Organism: Ailuropoda melanoleuca (giant panda)
Lineage: Eukaryota; Metazoa; Chordata; Mammalia; Carnivora; Ursidae
Exons: 3
Source: RefSeq, a predicted model, not a curated record